CCUACGGGAGGCAGCAGUGGGGGAUAUUGCACAAUGGGGGGAACCCUGAUGCAGCGACGCCGCGUGGGUGAAGGAGUGCUUCGGCAUGUAAAGCCCUAUCGGCAGGGAAGAAGCAAGACGGUACCUGACUAAGAAGCCCCGGCUAACUACGUGCCAGCAGCCGCGGUAAUACGUAGGGGGCGAGCGUUAUCCGGCUUCACUGGGUGUAAAGGGAGCGUAGACGGCCAUGCAAGCCAGGGGUGAAAGCCCGGGGCCCAACCCCGGGACUGCCCUUGGAACUGCAUGGCUGGAGUGCGGGAGGGGCAGGCGGAAUGCCUGGUGUAGCGGUGAAAGGCGUAGAUAUCAGGAGGAACACCGGCGGCGAAGGCGACCUGCUGGACCGCGACUGACGUUGAGGCUCGAAAGCGUGGGGAGCGAACAGGAUUAGAUACCCCGGUAGUC
RNAcentral lists this ribosomal RNA (441 nucleotides) under uncultured bacterium. RNAcentral's name for it is "partial 16S ribosomal RNA". It matches the Rfam family "Bacterial small subunit ribosomal RNA", at positions 338 to 795 of the family's 1533-position model. The record is from RNAcentral.